UCUAUUGAAGAAUGUUGCGAUGUUCUAUUGAAGAAUGUUGUGAUGUUCUAUUGAAGAAUGUUGUGAUGCUCUAUUGAAGAAUGUUGCGAUGUUCUAUUGAAGAAUGUUGUGAUGUUCUAUUGAAGAAUGUUGUGAUGCUCUAUUGAAGAAUGUUGUGAUGUUCUAUUGAAGAAUGUUGUGAUGAUCUAUUGAAGAAUGUUGUGAUGCUCUAUUGAAGAAUGUUGUGAUGCUCUGUUGAAGAAUGUUGUGAUGUUCUAUUGAAGAAUGUUGCGAUGUUCUAUUGAAGAAUGUUAUUGUUCUGAAAGAAUGUCAUCAUGAACCCUGUUUAUAGCUGAUGCUAACCUGUGUCCUGGUCUCGUCCACAUUUCUAGACCAUUAGAAGAUUAGUGUUCAGCACUUUCUGACCGCCUCCGCAGGUUGUUCCGAGGGCAGCUCCGACCUCCAGGGAACUGGCAGAACAAAGCCAUUGGUUGGAUGAAAACUCAGUGACAUGUCAGUGGGCGGGGUUUACAGGGGAGAGUCAAAUAAGAAAAGGCCUCAUUUACAACUGCGACCUGACCAAGAUAAAGCAAAGCAGUGCAACACAAACAACAACACAGAGUUAAACAUGGAGUAAACAAACGUGCAGUCAAUAACACAAUAGAAAAAUCUGUAUACAGUGUGUGGAAAUGAGGUAAGGGCAAAAAAAUUUAUUUCGUUCCAGUCAUUGGCAGCAGAGAACUGGAAGGAAAGGCGGCCAAAGGAGGAAUUGGCUUUGGGGGUGACUAGUGAGAUAUACCUGCUGGGAAGCGUGCUACGGGUGGGUGUUGCUAUGGCGACCAGCGAGCUGAGAUAAGGCGGGGCUUUACCUAGCAAAGACUUAUAGAUGACCUGGAGCCAGUGGGUUUGGCGUUGAAUAUGAAGCGAGCGCCAGACACUGCGACCUGUAUUCAGGUCGCAGUGCUGGGUGGUAUAUGGGGCUUUGGUGACAAAACGGAUGGCACUGUGAUAGACUGCAGCCAAUUUAGAGUGUUGGAGGCUAUUUUGUAAAUUACAUUGCCAAAGUCAAGGAUCGGUAGGAUAGUCAGUUUUACGAGGGUAUGUUUGGCAGCAUGAGUGAAGGAAGCUUUGUUGCGAAGUAGGAAUCCGAUUCUAGAUUUAAUUUUGGAUUGGAGAUGCUUAAUGUGAGUCUGGAAGGAGAGUUUACAGUCUAACCAGACACCCAGGUAUUUGUAGUUGUCCACGUAUUCUAAGUCAGAACCGUCCAGGGUAGUGAUGCUGGACCGGCGGGCAGGUAUGGGCAAUGCUGUCCUCUGCUGGCCCAGUGGACAAGGCCUCUGAUGGCCCAGUAGAAUAGGGACUAGAAGGUCCCAGGUUCUAAUCUUACCGAUGGCCUUUUGUUUAUUUCAGCGUAAAGCUGAUACCUAGAGUCAAUGGUGCCCGUCCCCCUGACAAUGAUUUUAAAGUUUGAUAAUCCAGAUCUGUUUACACCCUUAACAGAAAGAUACGACCUCGGCAGCUGGUCGGAAAGAUCGGAUCACAAUCCUUCUUUAAAAAAAAAAAAUAAUAAUAAUAAUAAUAAUCGUCCACACCUGGGGAAAAUAAAUAAUGUAGGUACAAUCAGAAUGUGGAGAAGAUCAGGACACAUGUUAGCACCAGGUAUAAAACAGGCCCCGAAGAAGUUAAAGCCAAUAUCCUCAAUCAGAAUGUGGAGAAGAUCAGGACACAUGUUAGCACCAGGUAUAAAACAGGCCCUGAAGGAGUUAAAGCCAAUAUCCUCGUGUGCGUCGGUCGACACAUCAAUGACAUCAUUAUUUAACCUUGUAUUUGUACUUCAUAGUGUUAAUGGUUUGUACCAGUCCUUUGUUUCAUACAGCAGCAUGUCUCCGAUCUGAUGAUCUUUUCAAUAUUUAUACUCUUUAAGCGCCACAGGAUUAUUGACUAUUAAUAAACUGUUGACAGGAA
Molecule: long non-coding RNA, 1944 nt
Organism: Oncorhynchus keta (chum salmon)
Lineage: Eukaryota; Metazoa; Chordata; Actinopteri; Salmoniformes; Salmonidae
Exons: 2
Source: RefSeq, a predicted model, not a curated record